UGGGGAAUCUUGCACAAUGGGCGAAAGCCUGAUGCAGCGACGCCGCGUGCGGGAUGAAGGCCUUCGGGUUGUAAACCGCUUUCAGCAGGGACGAGGCCGCAAGGUGACGGUACCUGCAGAAGAAGCCCCGGCUAACUACGUGCCAGCAGCCGCGGUAAUACGUAGGGGGCAAGCGUUAUCCGGAUUCAUUGGGCGUAAAGAGCUCGUAGGCGGCCCGUUAGGUCAGGAGUCAAAUUCGGGGGCUCAACCCCCGCGCGCUCCUGAUACCGGCGGGCUUGAGUUUGGUAGGGGAAGGUGGAAUUCCCAGUGUAGCGGUGGAAUGCGCAGAUAUUGGGAAGAACACCGGUGGCGAAGGCGGCCUUCUGGGCCAUAACUGACGCUGAGGAGCGAAAGCUAGGGG
This 400-nucleotide ribosomal RNA is filed under the name uncultured bacterium. Its description in RNAcentral is "bacterial SSU rRNA". It matches the Rfam family "Bacterial small subunit ribosomal RNA", at positions 355 to 766 of the family's 1533-position model. The record is from RNAcentral.